This 246-nucleotide ribosomal RNA is filed under the name uncultured bacterium. RNAcentral describes it as "partial 16S ribosomal RNA". It matches the Rfam family "Bacterial small subunit ribosomal RNA", at positions 52 to 305 of the family's 1533-position model. The record is from RNAcentral.
GUAACGUGGCUACCGGCAUGCAAGUCAAACGGUCCCGCUUUUGCGGGAUAGUGGCGGACGGCUUAGUAACACGUAGGUACAUACCCCAAAGUCGGGCAUAACUCCGCGAAAGCGGAGCUAAUUCCCGAUGGCUCCUGCAAAGGUAAAGAUGCAAAUCGCUUUGGGAAUGGCCUGCGGCCUAUCAGCUUGUUGGUGAGGUAAUAGCUCACCAAGGCUAUGACGGGUAGGGGGUGUGAGAGCACGACC